GACGAACGCUGGCGGCGCGCCUAACACAUGCCAGUCGAACGAGCGAGAGAGAGCUUGCUUUCUCGAGCGAGUGGCGAACGGGUGAGUAACGCGUGAGGAACCUGCCUCAAAGAGGGGGACAACAGUUGGAAACGACUCCUAAUACCGCAUAAGCCCACGACCCGGCAUCGGGUAGAGGGAAAAGGAGCAAUCCGCUUUGAGAUGGCCUCGCGUCCGAUUAGCUAGUUGGUGAGGUAACGGCCCACCAAGGCGACGAUCGGUAGCCGGACUGAGAGGUUGAACGGCCACAUUGGGACUGAGACACGGCCCAGACUCCUACGGGAGGCAGCAGUGGGGAAUAUUGCACAAUGGGGGAAACCCUGAUGCAGCGACGCCGCGUGGAGGAAGAAGGUCUUCGGAUUGUAAACUCCUGUUGUUGAGGAAGAUAAUGACGGUACUCAACAAGGAAGUGACGGCUAACUACGUG
Molecule: ribosomal RNA, 466 nt
Filed under: uncultured bacterium
Lineage: Bacteria
Description: partial 16S ribosomal RNA
Rfam family: Bacterial small subunit ribosomal RNA
Source: RNAcentral